UACGGGGGGGGCAAGCGUUGUUCGGAAUUACUGGGCGUAAAGCGUGCGCAGGCGGUUUCGUAAGUCUGUCGUGAAAUCCCCGGGCUUAACCUGGGAAUGGCGAUGGAGACUGCGAGGCUAGAGUUUGGCAGAGGGGGGUAGAAUUCCACGUGUAGCAGUGAAAUGCGUAGAGAUGUGGAGGAACACCGAUGGCGAAGGCAGCCCCCUGGGCUGAGAUUGACGCUCAGGCACGAAAGCGUGGGGAGCAAACAGG
RNAcentral lists this ribosomal RNA (253 nucleotides) under uncultured bacterium. RNAcentral's name for it is "partial 16S ribosomal RNA". It matches the Rfam family "Bacterial small subunit ribosomal RNA", at positions 524 to 776 of the family's 1533-position model. The record is from RNAcentral.